AGUGAACGCUGGCGGUAGGCCUAACACAUGCAAGUCGAACGGCAGCACAGUAAGAGCUUGCUCUUACGGGUGGCGAGUGGCGGACGGGUGAGGAAUACAUCGGAAUCUACUUUUUCGUGGGGGAUAACGUGGGGAAACUUACGCUAAUACCGCAUACGACCUACGGGUGAAAGCAGGGGAUCUUCGGACCUUGCGCGAUUGAAUGAGCCGAUGUCGGAUUAGCUAGUUGGCGGGGUAAAGGCCCACCAAGGCGACGAUCCGUAGCUGGUCUGAGAGGAUGAGCAGCCACACUGGAACUGAGACACGGUCCAGACUCCUACGGGAGGCAGCAGUGGGGAAUAUUGGACAAUGGGCGCAAGCCUGAUCCAGCCAUACCGCGUGGGUGAAGAAGGCCUUCGGGUUGUAAAGCCCUUUUGUUGGGAAAGAAAAGCAGCAGGUUAAUACCCCGCUGUUCUGACGGUACCCAAAGAAUAAGCACCGGCUAACUUCGUG
RNAcentral lists this ribosomal RNA (492 nucleotides) under uncultured bacterium. RNAcentral's name for it is "partial 16S ribosomal RNA". It matches the Rfam family "Bacterial small subunit ribosomal RNA", at positions 29 to 507 of the family's 1533-position model. The record is from RNAcentral.